GGGAGCGGCGGUGGAAUGGCGGGCGGCGCGGAGCUGGCGUGGCGCCGCGGGCGGCGGUGCCUGUCCCCGGCCCGCAAGCGGCUCAGGCCGCUGCGGACUGUGGUGGCGUGGAGGGGCAGGGCGGAGUGGGACCAGGUGAUGGUGGGGCUGUACUGCGGGGACAGCCGGCUGCAGCAGGAAGCGCUGGACCGGGUCUCGGCCUGGAAGAGUCGGUAUGGUCCAAAAAUGCCUCUUGCAGUGGAUUGCACUGCUGAACUGAUUCGUUGCAAGGUCCUGGAUUCAUCUGGCAGAUUGAAGUCGCAUGAGCUCAUCCUCUCUUAUGGGCUGGCUCUUGUAAGGUUUGUCAACUUGAUCACAGAAAGGAAGCAGAAAAUGGUCAGCAUUCCUCUGAGACAAUUAGCCAGAGAGGUAGAUAUCCCCAUCUGGGUUGUGGAUCUCCGUCAUGAGCUGACCCACGGGAAGCUGCCACGGCUAGCUCUGUGCCGCAAGGGUUGUGAUGUUGUGCUGGAGUGGCUACGCAAGACCUAUUGGAGCCGUCAGCUGGGCAAUAACUUGUGUGAAGAAAGUGAGGAUGAGGAAGAGGAGCAGGAAGGGGUGGAAGCAAAUGCAGAGCUGGACAAUGAUGCGUGGGAGAUUCGAACUCCACAGCAUGAGGCCUGUCAGAAACACAAGGAAUUUCAUGAGAAAGUCAGAGAUGUGCUGAUAUCCUACAAGAAUGAGCAGUUUCGGGUUAUGCAGACUGUGCAGUCUGUUUCAAAAUCUCGAGAACUGUGGUCCGACUCCUCUUCAGAAGUGGACUGGAUUUUGGCUCAGAUCAAAGACCUGAUGCAAGAGAACAGGGAGACAGUGGCUGAAGCUCUUCUCAGUGAUGGCUUUCUCAUCCCAAAGAUGGAUUGUCUGAAGAUGCUAAAUAUCAAGUAUGAAGCAAAUAAAGAGGUAUGGCAGUUCAAAAUUCCUCAGACAUUUUACUGCUUUUGGCAGCCUUUGCUGACAGGCCUCCUUUCCCGAAGUUUUACACAGAUCCUAAUAGAGAAAAUGUUUAUGGAGUUGAAGGAAUGUUCUGACUCUUCAGAACUGCGGCCUCAGUUCUUGAUCAACUGGAUUUCUGAGAUGCUGACUGGCAUUGCCAAAGUAAAUGCUGGGAAGAAAAGACAACACUGUAACAAGCAGGUGUCCUCGAAGGAGCUGUUCCUCCAUAAAGUUCCCUUGCAGUGGAUAAGACUGACUGAUAAUUGCUUGGAAGCUCCCUGCUGGGCAACCCCACACCUUCUUCAGCUGAUCCUCACAAUCAUGAGACCUCGCUUGCCACGUUCUUCGCGGAAGAACCUUCUCUAUCUCGCUUCUGUUUACACGGAAGGAGGUGGCCCUUUGUCCAGUCCAGGCCUCUCUUCAGACUGCAGUGAACAGCCAAUUUACACUAUAGAGAGCUUACAGUGGAGGGCCAGGCAAGAAAAUCAGGUUAAAAAUCAAGGGCAGACUGUAGAGAAACAAGAAGAUGUGCUGGAGAGAGAUGAUGGUGUGGAGGAAGUGGAGGAGGAGGAAGAAGAGAUGGUAACUGAAACAAAUCCUUUGGAAGGACUUGCUCAUUCCGGUAACAUGGUGGCUAUUGCUGAGAAAAGGGCAGCACUGCAAGGGUCCGCCUGGCAGAUCACUGCAGAUGAAGUACGGUGGAAAGACUUUCCGCUUGGGAAACUCCCAGGUCAGACAGAUGACCCUGAUGGUCUCAUGCUGGAUAAUUACUCCAUGAUGUCCCUGCUUGAUCAGCCAGUGAGAGAUGAGUGGAAGUCUCCCAACACAAAACUUAAAGCAAAUGAAGGUAAUGAACUGCAGAAUGGGUUUCCUGGAGCAUGGAGUUUGACAUUAAUUUGGAAAAAGUGCUUUGGACAAGUCAUGUUACAGAAGCAGAACCUCUUGCUGCAGCCCUAAUUCACCAGGUCCACAGAUGAGAAUGGAGUGCUUGGUGAUCUUAUGAUGUGUUUAAUCUAUGUUGUUUAAAAUCUGCCUGAAUUCUGCCUGCCUUGUUUGAGGUCUGUGCUUCUUACUAAAUAGUUCCUAUGAAUCUGUAGCAAAACUUGAUUACAUACCAGGAAAAAUACGUUUCAGAUGACAACCUCCCUCCCCUUUUAAAGAUGAGCUCAAUCUCGAGAGACAGUCAAGAGCCCAUCUCUUUUCCUGUGUUUCACUUCUUUUUCUGCUUUUGUUGUUGUUUCUGGAUGUUCAGAAAAUUUGAGAAUGUGCCUUCCCUAUGCUGAAAGCAACAGCCUAGCUAUCCACGAAGUUUUCCCCCACAAGGAUGCUGGAUAAGUCAUUUUUUGUUCUUUCUCUGCUCAUAGUUUUCUGCCUGCCACUUAUCACACAGUUUGUGGAACUUUUGGACAUUUGUGGAACACUCUUGUGGAACCCUUUACACACAGUUUCUGUGGUUUGCCAUCAGAUCUUCCCAAAGAUAAGCAUGCUUUUUCCAAAACAGAAUAGCCUGGAUCUCAGAGAAGCAAAAUAGUUCAAAAAAGAUGAAUCCAGCAAAACCCAGUGAAUUUUGAGGCUGUACUCCAUUGUCACGUAUUUAGCUGUCUUUGCAGAUAUACUAUUGGAAGAAACUAGUGGCAAGCAAGUGGCUGGGGGAAAAAGUAGCACUUAUUAUGGAAACGGCACUUUCUCCCUUGAAUCCCAAGUAAUAAAGUGCUGUUGUUCUGCUUGGUGAUACUCCAGUUUCUUCCCUCCUGAAAAGUGGUUGAUCUGCUAUGAUGAGCUUGUUCUUGGCAACCUUCUUGCAGUACAGUUAAGACAGAGAAUGACGUCAGUGUCUAUCCCCUGAAUCCCUGUCCUGGGAAUGACAGCAGGUCUGUGAAGUCAUGAAUGAUGAGGAGUAUACAUCACAAGGGAGGAAAAAUUAUCCCAUUAGCAGGCUGAAUUCAGGAUAGUUUCCAACAGCCAGAGGGAGACUGUUGCGUCAUUACACUGGGUGUGAUAACUGUGAUGUUUCUGUGUUGGUUUUGUCUGCAAGGCCUCUGGCAGUGUCUCAUCUGAACAGGGAGUGUCUAAGAGGUGUUUUGACCUUAAAGGAGAAAUUAUCUGUCUCUCAGGAGCUCUGAACAACAGCCUCUGCUAUAUAGCCAGUUAUUCCUGUACUGAACAUCUGGAAAAGGCAUUGAGUUUUUUGGUGUAUAGCUUGAAGUUGCUGUAUAAAUAAAACCUUCCAAACAUCUCAAUCUUGUUUGCAGAAAUUAUUUUCUGUCUUCAGAGGUUUUUGGUUUUGUUUUAACAUGAGACAUAAGUUCCUGUGAUGCUUGGAUACUUUGGAAAAGCUUGGGGUUCCUUCCUCCCUGAUCCCAAAAGAUUGUGUUCUUUGGUGGGUUUUCUGGUGUAUGCUCUGUAUGUGUGUUGUCAAAGUUUGUGUUUAGUGUUGCUGUGGCAACCUCUGAAACUUUGAAUAGCUGCUGUCAUCCUCAGGCAGUCGUUUUGGUUUUUGUAAUAAGCAUAUGUGCUUUUUGUUUAUUCCCAGUGUCAGUUUUACCUGACAGGAGGGGCAAACUUGGCAAAUAAUGACCACUUGGAGAGUUUUCUGAGGGUGGAGUUUGCUGACAUGCAAUUGCUUUAGGGAUUGCAUCAAGUGGUUGCACAGACAUUUCAAAAAUGGGAUUCAUCAUGGUCAUGGAUAAUGACUAGAUUUUGUUGUCCUAAGGAUGAGAUGCAUAAGCAGCUCUGCAGAAUUGAAUAUUCCUGUGACAGGAGGAUUGUUAUGGACCCAGAAUGACUUCCAUAAAAUAAAAAGUGGCCUUCAACUUUUCUAAGACAGCAGAGUGCUCUGCGGCUUUCAAUAUUGCACAAGAUAAGUGGCAUGGAACAACUAGUAAUGGUGAUGGGGAAACAGCCACUCCAGGAUGUAUUUUUUUUCAUGAAGAUUUACUGAUUUUUACCAUGUAAAAUCAAUAUUUUAUAAAGGUGGUGUGUUUUAAGUUCCAUGUGUGGUAACCAUUGUCUUGCUUAACCACUAACAUUAACUUUCAGCUCUAGUUGAUGUUUGCCAAAUACAGUUAGAAUAUUUGGGAAUCCCUCAGUGUUCCUUAAUUUUUUUCAUAGUUAAUAAAUAGAACUGACUGAAGGCAAACCUUUUUUCUGGAUCCUGUUUUUGCUUUUUCAGUCAGGUAUUCUGGAAAGUGUCCUCUGGUCUUCCCCUCAUUAGCCAGGCUAUUGAGCCUUGCCUAUUUCAGUGAUGCUAAUUGUCCUGUGUGAGUUUGCAUGAUUUUGCCAGGAUAUGAUUGUGCUACAAUUUUCAUCUAGCUAGGAUUUCACAUGAAGCGUCAGGGAUCCAGCCUAGUUACAGCAUGGCUGAAUGCACCAUAGCGCAUAAAUAUCUUUUAAAUUUUUUUUCUCGCCAUUUUUUUCAAGUGAUAGUUUUGAGGCCUCUACUAUCUCUUUUUAAUUAGUUUUCUUCUUGAUGUUAUUUCUAUUUGUUAUUUUGCUGAGGUUGAUAACUAAUGCUGUGGUCUUUGCUGAGAGCUAGUGUGAUUACUGCAGUAAUGGACUUGAGUACCUUGUUGGAAAGUUGUUGAGAAAAAGGACCUCCACUUAGUUUUUUGUAAAUUCAGUUUUCUUUACCUGUAUUAAAGGUUCUUGGAACUUAGAGGCUUCUGCAGUUACCUAUCAGGAGUUCAAGCAUAUAUUCGUUGUGGGACUCCUCAGUAAGAAUUUGUUGGAGUGUAUCUGCUAGAGGGUAAGACAGAGCUUUCCUCUGAGUCAGUCUGGUAAUUUGCAGUAUUUACAAACCAAACAGAAACAGGAACGUGUCAGUGCAGCAUUGUGAAAUGGAAUCUUUUUAGUUCUUUAGAGCUACUGCUGACAUUAUGUGCUAAUGUUCUAUAGAAAGAGAUACAAAAAGGGACAUACAACUUUAGCAGUACAGUGGAUAGGAUUGAAUUGCAAGUUUAGAACAGCAACUUCAUGGAUGCUUUGGGCUGGCUCUCAAGUAAAGGCUUAGCUAAAUGUCCAUAAUGUAAGUAAUAUUUCUUUGUUCUAAUUUUUUGUCAUCCUGUUCUACUGCAGUUGCUCUUCACCAGACAGGCAAAAGUUAUUUAAAACAUGUUGUACAUUUCCUUCUCUAAAAACAAGCAGUGCUAGUGCAAAAGAAAACAAACUUCUCUUUUAGGAGAGAUUUUUCAUGUAAGUCCUUCCCCUUUCUAGUAUUUUGAGAAAUUUCUCCUUUUACCCAGCAGUUCCUCAAGCUUAUUUAGGCAAUUUUUAGUGAAGAGGAUUUAUUCUUUUAUUACUGUAUUUGGUAGAGUAUGAAAUUACUUAAGUUAUUGUAUUUGGUACUUCAGAGGUCUGUCAAUGCAACCAAGCACAACAGUUCAAAAAGGAAAGUGUGAUGCUGGCAAAUACUGUGCUGCAUGUAACCUUUUUCUGCUUUGGUGAAGAUUUACUUGGUAAAAUCAUGUGCUACUGUAAUUUCUUCAUCAGCUGUAGUAGUUACUGCCCUGUGCAUCCACCAUUACCCCACCUAGUGAAUUAUGGAAUAAAAACCUGGUCUUUGAUCUAAUUGCAGAGUCAAAUAAAUAGUUAAAUCCAGUGCUGUGUCUGACUUGUAGAAAAGCACAAAACUGCCAGAUGCUUUAAAAAAAAGAAUACCAAGAUUUGAGGAGAAGCCAUAGUAAUGGCAUGAAAUUUAAACUAAGUGUUACUGGGGGGGGUGGGGGGGAAGCAGGCUUGAAACAAAGGGGGCAGGGAAAGAGAAUGGCUGGAGAAAAGAAACAAAUGUUUUGGGUUUUAAAAAGUGAAAAAGGAGCUUCUAUUAAAAACCAGAAGUGUAAAACCUAGACAAUUAUGUAUCACCUUGUUCAGGAUGAUGAAACUUUGUGUUUGUUUGGUCUGAUUAAUUCACAGGAACAAUUUUGUAGCUACUUUUCCAAGUACCUCCGAAAUGACAAUGUUACUAUGAAUAAUACAAAAUAAAUGCAUAGAUAAUCUUAACCUUUAAAUCCAGCCAGUUCAAAUGACUUGAAAAGCAAGUAAGAAAACAGUUACUGUAUUGGGUACUUCUGAGUUAUGCAAACAUAACAGUUUAAAAAGGAAAGGGCAAUACUAGCAAAAUGCUGUGCUACAUGUAAUUUUUUUCCCCUUUGGUAAAAGUUUACUUGGUAAAAUGUGUUUUCAACAUGCUAAUUACUUUCUUUGCUGGAAGCACAUUCUGAGUGGGGAUAGGAAGGGCAAUGUUGCUGUAUUUCUAGAUUACCUGAUUUUUCCUUUGCAUUGGGCAGGCCUUCGUGAGACUGCUUUCUCCCUGUAAAUGAAUCUCUCCAGACAGAUUUUCACUGUCCAAAAAAACCCAUCUCUAAAGGGAAGCUAUAGAAAGGAUUGGAGACAGAAGCUGGGACUAUAUGGAAUAAAUCACGCAAAGAGGAAUUGCUGAGGAAGUUAAGGCCUGGGUCCACUGUUUGUGUGGCCUGUGAGCCCUUUUUCCUGGCUUUUUCCACCUUUUGAAUUUCUUUUCAAAGUAAGUAAUUGGACAGAGUAGUGGAACCUUAUUAGGAUAAUUUAUUGCUGGCCAUUCAAGUCUUCCAAUAUGCUGUUAUCUCAUUCCCGAAGGCAGAUACUCUGACAAGGACUUCAGCUCGACCCAGGGGUCACAGUUUUGGGGCAAAAACUGGAACAGUAAGAAUAUCCCAUGAAAUCUAAUUACUACUUGUUUUCAGGAGUGAUAUACUUGAGGAUGUAAAUUAAGCAUAAAGGGCCUGGGAUUAGGAAAAAGCAACUUUGUAAUACAGGUAUUUUAUUGUUUUUGAUUGGUUUUGUGGUGUCUUUUGAAUCCCCUGGUUCCUGGCCAUUGUGAGAACAAACAUGGUAAUGGUGAGACGUUCAGGCAAAUUCAGAUUGAGAUGAUCUUUAAAUUUGUGUAAUACAGAGAUGGACAAAGGAUGUUAUUCUGACAAGACAGUGGGACCUAAGUAGUACUUUUUUCUCUGCUUUUUAAAGAAAUGUAAAAUUCUUGUGCUGUUCCUUCACAGAUUUAAGCACAGAUGGAACAUUUGAGCAUUAUGUAUGAUUUCAGAAUCUGGGUAUUUUUCAGUAAGUCAACUAAAAAUACUGAGAAAUAAUUUAGACUACAACACUUGUUUUGGACAAAACAGGUUUUUGGGGCUCUCAUCUAAAGAGGGUUACAAAAUAAAAAGCUAGAUACAAAUAA
Harpia harpyja (harpy eagle) is the source of this 7180-nucleotide RNA transcript. It is a transcript of the gene named LAS1 like ribosome biogenesis factor, with no coding region annotated. The transcript is spliced from 14 exons. The record is from RefSeq and is a predicted model, not a curated record. NCBI's taxonomy places the organism in Eukaryota, Metazoa, Chordata, Aves, Accipitriformes, Accipitridae.